CUUUUCUUGUUAGGCUUGGGAAGAAACUGAGUUUUCAGAGAUUUCUAUUGGUUUUGUAAAACUUAAUUUGCUCUGAUGCAAAGCAAGCCAGUCAGAGUGAGCUGUGACUUUCUUCCUUGCUGUCUGACUGUCUGGCAUCACUUUCUCUCAUUAGCUGGGCUCUUAAGUGGAGACAGUGCAUCCAAGCAGGUCCAGGCAGGGUUUGGAGCAGACUGCACCACCGUGCAUCGUCCGACAGAGGAGAGCUUCCUUCACACAGAGUUUUUCCAGCUGAAUCGUUCUGUAAUCUGCUCUCAUGUCCGCUGGUGAAGGGGAAAGGAAUCCUGCUGAAAGGCAAAACACACCACAAACAACAACAGCAACAAAAAAAUGCAUCCAGUUUUCAUUCAUCCUUCCCCCCGCCCUUUUGGAAACAGCAAGAAAAGUUUUCUGUGUGUGAAAAACCAAAUGGAUGGAUGUUUGUACUGAUACAGCUGAAAAAUGUCAUAUUAACAAAUAGCUCUUGUCUAAAAAUUGUUGAAUGAAAAGAUUUGCUAUUCUGUUCA
Molecule: long non-coding RNA, 545 nt
Organism: Grus americana (Whooping crane)
Lineage: Eukaryota; Metazoa; Chordata; Aves; Gruiformes; Gruidae
Exons: 4
Source: RefSeq, a predicted model, not a curated record